UCACAGUGGGUAGGAUUAGAAAUGGAAGGAAGGGAGUGGAGGAGUUUGGUGAAGGAGAAGGUGUUUUGCGGGGGUGGGCAAAGAUAAUGAGGAGAGUGGAUUUGCUUGAGAUGGAGUACUGAAUUCAAUGGGGGAUUUCUGCAUUUUUGGUGAAACAGGAAGGAGAGUAAAGAGUUGUAUAAGUUUGAAUUUGUGAGCUUGGGUCUUGCGCUUGCCG
RNAcentral lists this long non-coding RNA (217 nucleotides) under Panax ginseng (ginseng). Its description in RNAcentral is "long non-coding RNA (PGIN_LNC012320)". Lineage: Eukaryota; Viridiplantae; Streptophyta; Magnoliopsida; Apiales; Araliaceae. The record is from RNAcentral.